RNAcentral lists this ribosomal RNA (425 nucleotides) under uncultured bacterium. Its description in RNAcentral is "partial 16S ribosomal RNA". It matches the Rfam family "Bacterial small subunit ribosomal RNA", at positions 354 to 796 of the family's 1533-position model. The record is from RNAcentral.
GUGGGGAAUAUUGGGCAAUGGGCGAAAGCCUGAUCCAGCCAUGCCGCGUGAGUGAUGAAGGCCUUAGGGUUGUAAAGCUCUUUCAGUAGGGAAGAUAAUGACGGUACCUACAGAAGAAGCCCCGGCUAACUUCGUGCCAGCAGCCGCGGUAAUACGAAGGGGGCUAGCGUUGUUCGGAUUUACUGGGCGUAAAGCGCACGUAGGCGGAUUGGUCAGUUAGAGGUGAAAUCCUGGAGCUCAACUCCAGAACUGCCUUUAAUACUGCCAGUCUAGAGUCCAGAAGAGGUGAGUGGAACUCCUAGUGUAGAGGUGGAAUUCGUAGAUAUUAGGUAGAACACCAGUGGCGAAGGCGGCUCACUGGUCUGGUACUGACGCUGAGGUGCGAAAGCGUGGGGAGCAAACAGGAUUAGAAACCCCAGUAGUCC